This 427-nucleotide ribosomal RNA is filed under the name uncultured bacterium. RNAcentral describes it as "partial 16S ribosomal RNA". It matches the Rfam family "Bacterial small subunit ribosomal RNA", at positions 355 to 774 of the family's 1533-position model. The record is from RNAcentral.
UGGGGAAUAUUGCACAAUGGGCGCAAGCCUGAUGCAGCCAUGCCGCGUGUAUGAAGAAGGCCUUCGGGUUGUAAAGUACUUUCAGCGAGGAGGAAGGCGUUGUGGUUAAUAACCGCAGCGAUUGACGUUACUCGCAGAAGAAGCACCGGCUAACUCCGUGCCAGCAGCCGCGGUAAUACGGAGGGUGCAAGCGUUAAUCGGAAUUACUGGGUGUAAAGCGCACGCAGGCGGUCUGUCAAGUCGGAUGUGAAAUCCCCGGGCUCAACCUGGGAACUGCAUCCGAAACUGGCAGGCUAGAGUCUUGUAGAGGGGGGUAGAAUUCCAGGUGUAGCGGUGAAAUGCGUGGAGAUCUGGAGGAAUACCGGUGGCGAAGGCGGCCCCCUGGACAAAGACUGACGCUCAGGUGCGAAAGCGUGGGGAGCAAACA